ACCAAGGAGUCUAACACGCGCGCGAGUCGCAGGGAAUUACGAAACCCGCGGGCGAAACGAAAGUGAAGGUCGUUCUCAAGGACGACUCGGGCGGGAUCCGCGGUGAAGAGAUUUGCCGCGGCGCACCGCCGGCCCGUCUCGGCCGCAACGUCGGCGAGGCGGAGCAGUAGCGCGCGCGUUGGGACCCGAAAGAUGGUGAACUAUGCCUGAGCAGGACGAAGCCAGAGGAAACUCUGGUGGAGGUCCGCAGCGAUUC
RNAcentral lists this ribosomal RNA (256 nucleotides) under Helobdella paranensis. RNAcentral's name for it is "partial 28S ribosomal RNA". It matches the Rfam family "Eukaryotic large subunit ribosomal RNA", at positions 665 to 886 of the family's 3401-position model. The record is from RNAcentral. Lineage: Eukaryota; Metazoa; Annelida; Clitellata; Rhynchobdellida; Glossiphoniidae.